GGGGACAUGGGGUAGCCAGGUUAACCUUACAGGCUCCAGACCUGUAGACCCGGGUUCGAAUCCCGGUGUCCCCA
This 74-nucleotide transfer RNA is filed under the name archaeon. RNAcentral's name for it is "tRNA-Trp". It matches the Rfam family "tRNA". From Rfam's summary of the family: Transfer RNA (tRNA) molecules are approximately 80 nucleotides in length. Their secondary structure includes four short double-helical elements and three loops (D, anti-codon, and T loops). RNAcentral also lists the same sequence under 1 other name. The record is from RNAcentral.